Molecule: ribosomal RNA, 267 nt
Filed under: uncultured bacterium
Lineage: Bacteria
Description: partial 16S ribosomal RNA
Rfam family: Bacterial small subunit ribosomal RNA
Source: RNAcentral
GAUGAACGCUAGCGGCAGGCUUAACACAUGCAAGUCGAGGGGUAGAAGGAGCUUGCUCCUUUGAGACCGGCGCACGGGUGCGUAACGCGUAUGCAAUCUACCUUUUGCAGAGGAUAGCCCAGAGAAAUUUGGAUUAAUACCUCAUAGUAUGUGAGGAUGGCAUCAUUUUUCACAUUAAAGUCACAACGGCAAAAGAUGAGCAUGCGUCCCAUUAGCUAGUUGGUAAGGUAACGGCUUACCAAGGCAACGAUCAGUAGCUGGUCUAAG